This 647-nucleotide ribosomal RNA is filed under the name uncultured bacterium. RNAcentral describes it as "bacterial SSU rRNA". It matches the Rfam family "Bacterial small subunit ribosomal RNA", at positions 143 to 807 of the family's 1533-position model. The record is from RNAcentral.
AUAGUGUCUGGAAACGGACAGUAAUACCGUAUAACAUAUAUUGAUCGCAUGGUUGAUAUAUCAAAACUGAGGUGCCGAAGGAUGGGCUCGCGUCUGAUUAGAUAGUUGGUGGGGUAACGGCCUACCAAGUCGACGAUCAGUAGCCGGACUGAGAGGUUGAACGGCCACAUUGGGACUGAGACACGGCCCAGACUCCUACGGGAGGCAGCAGUGGGGAAUAUUGCACAAUGGGGGAAACCCUGAUGCAGCAACGCCGCGUGAAGGAAGACGGUUUUCGGAUUGUAAACUUCUGUUCUUAGUGAAGAAUAAUGACGGUAGCUAAGGAGCAAGCCACGGCUAACUACGUGCCAGCAGCCGCGGUAAUACGUAGGUGGCAAGCGUUGUCCGGAAUUACUGGGUGUAAAGGGAGCGUAGGCGGGAUGCCAAGUCAGCUGUGAAAACUAUGGGCUUAACUUGUAGACUGCAGUUGAAACUGGUAUUCUUGAGUGAAGUGGAGGUUGGCGGAAUUCCGAGUGUAGCGGUGAAAUGCGUAGAUAUUCGGAGGAACACCGGUGGCGAAGGCGGCCAACUGGGCUUUAACUGACGCUGAGGCUCGAAAGUGUGGGGAGCAAACAGGAUUAGAUACCCUGGUAGUCCACACUGUAAAC